Molecule: small nucleolar RNA, 146 nt
Filed under: Sungouiella intermedia
Lineage: Eukaryota; Fungi; Ascomycota; Pichiomycetes; Serinales; Metschnikowiaceae
Source: RNAcentral
GUGGGACUUUUAUCUCCAUUUAUAUGCCGUAUCCAGAUAUACGUGGUAAACGAAUCCCACAGAGUAAUGCGGUCGCAAGACCUGGAAGUCUGCAGAGGUGGUGCCAUAGACAAGUGUGGUACUACCUUUGAUGGCGUCUGACAUCU